RNAcentral lists this ribosomal RNA (378 nucleotides) under Bacillus sp. LT57. RNAcentral describes it as "bacterial SSU rRNA". It matches the Rfam family "Bacterial small subunit ribosomal RNA", at positions 56 to 424 of the family's 1533-position model. Lineage: Bacteria; Bacillati; Bacillota; Bacilli; Caryophanales; Bacillaceae. The record is from RNAcentral.
UGCAGUCGAGCGGACAGAUGGGAGCUUGCUCCCUGAUGUUAGCGGCGGACGGGUGAGUAACACGUGGGUAACCUGCCUGUAAGACUGGGAUAACUCCGGGAAACCGGGGCUAAUACCGGAUGCUUGUUUGAACCGCAUGGUUCAAACAUAAAAGGUGGCUUCGGCUACCACUUACAGAUGGACCCGCGGCGCAUUAGCUAGUUGGUGAGGUAACGGCUCACCAAGGCAACGAUGCGUAGCCGACCUGAGAGGGUGAUCGGCCACACUGGGACUGAGACACGGCCCAGACUCCUACGGGAGGCAGCAGUAGGGAAUCUUCCGCAAUGGACGAAAGUCUGACGGAUCAACGCCGCGUUGAGUGAUGAAGGUUUUCGGAUC